UACGUAGGGGGCAAGCGUUGUCCGGAUUUAUUGGGCGUAAAGAGCGUGUAGGCGGUUUGGUAGGUCCGCUGUGAAAACUCGAGGCUCAACCUCGAGACGCCGGUGGAAACCAUCAGACUAGAGUCCGGAAGAGGAGAGUGGAAUUCCUGGUGUAGCGGUGAAAUGCGCAGAUAUCAGGAGGAACACCGGUGGCGAAGGCGGUUCUCUGGGAAUGUCCUGACGCUGAGGAGCGAAAGUGUGGGGAGCGAACAGG
Molecule: ribosomal RNA, 253 nt
Filed under: uncultured bacterium
Lineage: Bacteria
Description: partial 16S ribosomal RNA
Rfam family: Bacterial small subunit ribosomal RNA
Source: RNAcentral